CAGCAGCCGCGGUAAUACCGGCGGCCCGAGUGGCGGCCACUAUUAAUGGGCUUAAAGCGUCCGUAGCCGGGUUGGUUAGUCUCCCGGGAAAUCUGGCCGCUUAAAGGUCAGAAUUCCGGGAGAUACUGCCAGCCUAGGGACCGGGAGAGGCCGAGGGUAUUCCCGGAGUAGGGGUGAAAUCCUAUAAUCCCGGGAGGACCACCAGUGGCGAAGGCGCUCGGCUGGAACACGCCCGACGGGGAGGGGCGAAAGCCGGGGGGCCGAACCGGAUUAGAUCCCCGGGUAGUCCCGGCGGUAAACGAUGCGGGCUAGGUGUUGGGUGGGCUUAGAGCCCACCCAGUGCCGCAGGGAAGCCGUUAAGCCCGCCGCCUGGGGAGUCCGGCCGCAAGGCUGAAACUUAAAGGAAUUGGCGGG
RNAcentral lists this ribosomal RNA (414 nucleotides) under uncultured microorganism. Its description in RNAcentral is "partial 16S ribosomal RNA". It matches the Rfam family "Archaeal small subunit ribosomal RNA", at positions 459 to 872 of the family's 1478-position model. The record is from RNAcentral.